CKGCAGCCRUAACUACAACCGGACCCCCUACCGGUGCACCAACACCCUCGGUGACCAUAGCAACGACMAGCACCAGAUCCAUCAGUACCUCUGCAAACCAAACAACACCUGAUCUCGGACCAUAUUAUGUUAUCGCCCUGAACGCAAAGAUCUCGGCCGCCGUGUCUCUGAUAAAUGAUCAGGAGGCCCUGGCACAGCUGAUUAAGGAAGAACUGAUCAGCUAUGGGCUGCCACCAACCAUCAGCGUUAGGAUCUUAACCAGAGGUUCAUUGGAAGUAACAGCUGCCACAUAGUGGCGACUUCUUGCAGGAAAAUGGUUUUAGUGACACGUUGAUUCAGGAUUUUAUUUUUUCACACKCUUUGUAAUCAACCACAUUUAUGAAGCUUUCUGCACAGGAUGUUAAAYAUCAAAAUAUUYUAUUCUCUCAUCUUAUUUUCUGUUAUUUGAAAUAACAUUAAACAAAGUAAUGAAGUAUCAACUUUCAGAGUAGGAAAUAUUGGUCCAGUGAUCUAAAAACWUGAGGUUCUCACUGUUUUCAGUGAUGUGUAAGAUUUUGAUCCGAUUGUUUUGUAGAGCAUUUCCUCGUACCAGGUGAACUCCACAGCUUCUCUGAUGCAGCUGAAGCUACUUCUUAGAAAGAAGGAACUUCUUUUUACAUUUGAAAACUUAAACACUUUCUUAGAAAGUAUAAAACUUACUGAUGCUGAUCUACCAACCYUGAAUAGGAGAUUCUAGUUUAUUUACUUUGGAUCAACAUUAUUAGCUUUUUCUUCUUUUGCUCUUUUUUUGUUGGUUUGUUACUUUGU
Non-coding RNA from Poecilia reticulata (guppy), 807 nucleotides. Lineage: Eukaryota; Metazoa; Chordata; Actinopteri; Cyprinodontiformes; Poeciliidae. The record is from RefSeq and is a predicted model, not a curated record.